GUUGUCUUCUCCAGAUGACCCAUUGCCAUUGUUCUUCUUCUGCAAUAGAGAACCAAAACAAAGCACCCCCUCUCCCCGCUGCCUUUUCUCCAACAGCAAAACCAACAAACACGAGCCGCUGCUGCUUCUCCAUCAAGCAACCCCAUCGUUGCCUGAAACUCGCCGGCAAAACGAGCUCCACCAGCUCGUCGGAGUAACGAGUUCCGAACGCGACGAGUAGAACCAAGCGACCUCACACCAGUAGCUUCCAACGAGCCCCCCUUUUUGAACCUGGAACGAUCAUCUUCUUCAUGAAGAUUGAAGAAGUUAGCUCUUCAUCUGUCUAACACCAAAAACGACCCCCCUUGUAUUCCAUCUCCUUCACAACCCCAGUUCUAGUCGCAACACCAACCAAAAACACUUCCCUGACCAAGAAAGCCCUCCAACGUCGUAACUUCCAAUCUACAACACACACGCACAUAGCUGCAACGGGAGGGCAGCAGCAGCGAAAGCAGUAGGGGUGAAAGGGAGGCGACGAGUGGCGUUCGAAAAGUCGAUGAAAUAGUAGUCUCGAUAUAGGUUCGUCCAAGCUGUCCGUCUGCGAAUCCGAGGUGUCGAUGCAAGGUCCGUUGGAUCCUUCUCUGUUUUUGUACGUGUUGACUUUGAUCAUCAAUAAAAUUUAUUCGACAAUUGGAUUUUCCGAUGUUGAGACUCGAAGCAAAUUUGAAAAAAAAAAUUCAGUUUCUAAGAUUGAUUUUGAAACUGCGUAGCCUCGUUUCGCUGCUGGAAUUUUGUUGGUUUGAGUCAAUUUUGGAACUUGCUUGUGAGAUCUGCUCGGAGCCAGUCGUUGAAGUCUCGAGGUCGUUUCAUCGAGGGCCGGUCACGGUUUGAUUUUCGUACAAAUUUCCAUCGGAGCUUGCCGUUGCACUUUCAUUUGGCUACAGUGAAAAGUACAUGUCCUGAAACUCGAUGUAUGAAAAUAUCCAGUUGAAAAUGAAUGAAGUGGAGGCCUAUUGUUGUUGAAGUGGACGCCUAUUGUUGAUUUACUGCUUUCAUUAUAGUGUAAUAACUGUACUGAUGGACUGUUAAUUAUAAGUUUGUGCAUUUGAACCGUUAAGUGUGUGUUAGAUAUUUAGAAAUGCAUAUGAGUUUAGUUGAGUAUUCGUUGUAAUAAUUCCAUGCUGGACUAACAGAAUAGUUUCUAUUAGUUUAGUUAAUUUCCGGUUUUCCUAGAUCUGUAUAAAUGGUAUUUUCAAGCUGUGAUUAAUUAGGCUGUAGACUGUUAAAGUAGUGUGAUACUUCUUCUGA
Molecule: long non-coding RNA, 1287 nt
Organism: Nicotiana tabacum (common tobacco)
Lineage: Eukaryota; Viridiplantae; Streptophyta; Magnoliopsida; Solanales; Solanaceae
Source: RefSeq, a predicted model, not a curated record